RNAcentral lists this ribosomal RNA (1406 nucleotides) under uncultured Bacilli bacterium. RNAcentral describes it as "bacterial SSU rRNA". It matches the Rfam family "Bacterial small subunit ribosomal RNA", at positions 27 to 1393 of the family's 1533-position model. Lineage: Bacteria; Bacillati; Bacillota; Bacilli. The record is from RNAcentral.
GGACGAACGCUGGCGGCGUGCCUAAUACAUGCAAGUCGAACGAGUCCUCCCAAUUUGAUUUUAUGCUUGCAUAAAUGAUUUUUGGAUUCGGGACGAGUGGCGAACUGGUGAGUAACACGUGGGUAACCUGCCCUAAAGCAGGGGAUAACAUUUGGAAACAGAUGCUAAUACCGUAUAAUUAGUUGGAACCACAUGGUUCCAACUUGAAAGAUGGCUCUGCUAUCACUUUAGGAUGGACCCGCGGCGUAUUAGCUAGUUGGUGAGAUAAAAGCUCACCAAGGCGAUGAUACGUAGCCGACCUGAGAGGGUAAUCGGCCACAUUGGGACUGAGACACGGCCCAGACUCCUACGGGAGGCAGCAGUAGGGAAUCUUCCACAAUGGACGAAAGUCUGAUGGAGCAACGCCGCGUGAGUGAAGAAGGGUUUCGGCUCGUAAAACUCUGUUGUUAAAGAAGAACAAGUGUAAGAGUAACUGUUUACGCUUUGACGGUAUUUAACCAGAAAGCCACGGCUAACUACGUGCCAGCAGCCGCGGUAAUACGUAGGUGGCAAGCGUUGUCCGGAUUUAUUGGGCGUAAAGCGAGCGCAGGUGGUCUUUUAAGUCUGUUGUGAAAGCCCUCAGCUCAACUGAGGAAGUGCAGCGGAAACUAGGAGACUUGAGUACAGAAGAGGAUAGUGGAACUCCAUGUGUAGCGGUGAAAUGCGUAGAUAUAUGGAAGAACACCAGUGGCGAAGGCGGCUAUCUGGUCUGUUACUGACACUGAGGCUCGAAGCAUGGGUAGCGAACAGGAUUAGAUACCCUGGUAGUCCAUGCCGUAAACGAUGAAUACUAGGUGUUGGAGGGUUUCCGCCCUUCAGUGCCGCAGCUAACGCAUUAAGUAUUCCGCCUGGGGAGUACGACCGCAAGGUUGAAACUCAAAGGAAUUGACGGGGGCCCGCACAAGUGGUGGAGCAUGUGGUUUAAUUCGAUGCUACGCGAAGAACCUUACCAGGUCUUGACAUCUUCUGCCAACCUAAGAGAUUAGGCGUUCCCUUCGGGGACAGAAUGACAGGUGGUGCAUGGUUGUCGUCAGCUCGUGUCGUGAGAUGUUGGGUUAAGUCCCGCAACGAGCGCAACCCUUAUUAUUAGUUGCCAGCAUUAAGUUGGGCACUCUAGUGAGACUGCCGGUGAUAAACCGGAGGAAGGUGGGGAUGACGUCAAAUCAUCAUGCCCCUUAUGACCUGGGCUACACACGUGCUACAAUGGAUGGUACAACGAGUCGCGAAACCGCGAGGUCAAGCUAAUCUCUUAAAGCCAUUCUCAGUUCGGAUUGCAGGCUGCAACUCGCCUGCAUGAAGUUGGAAUCACUAGUAAUCGUGGAUCAGCAUGCCACGGUGAAUACGUUCCCGGGCCUUGUACUCACCGC